CAACUUUUGACAAUGGAUCUCUUGGUUCUCGCAACGAUGAAGAACGCAGCAAAAUGCGAUAAGUAGUGUGAAUUGCAGAAUACGUGAAUCAUCGAAUCUUCGAACGCAUAUUGCACA
RNAcentral lists this ribosomal RNA (117 nucleotides) under uncultured Anaeromyces. Its description in RNAcentral is "partial 5.8S ribosomal RNA". It matches the Rfam family "5.8S ribosomal RNA", at positions 1 to 117 of the family's 154-position model. From Rfam's summary of the family: 5.8S ribosomal RNA (5.8S rRNA) is a component of the large subunit of the eukaryotic ribosome. It is transcribed by RNA polymerase I as part of the 45S precursor that also contains 18S and 28S rRNA. RNAcentral also lists the same sequence under 2 other names. Lineage: Eukaryota; Fungi; Neocallimastigomycota; Neocallimastigomycetes; Neocallimastigales; Neocallimastigaceae. The record is from RNAcentral.